GGCUCAAUGGUAGAGUGCUUGCCUUGCAUGCAUGAGGCCCUGUGUUUGAUUCUCAG
RNAcentral lists this transfer RNA (56 nucleotides) under Dipodomys ordii (Ord's kangaroo rat). It matches the Rfam family "tRNA", at positions 9 to 63 of the family's 71-position model. Rfam says of the family: Transfer RNA (tRNA) molecules are approximately 80 nucleotides in length. Lineage: Eukaryota; Metazoa; Chordata; Mammalia; Rodentia; Heteromyidae. The record is from Rfam by way of RNAcentral.